AGAUCAUAUUGAGGACAACUUCUAAGCAAGUCCUUGUAUAUCUCCCAUGCUUAAUAUAAGAACUCUCCAACCUCUUGUUGAAAAUUAGCAAUCUUCUUCUUGAGCUU
Small nucleolar RNA from Lactuca sativa (garden lettuce), 107 nucleotides. The record is from RefSeq and is a predicted model, not a curated record. NCBI's taxonomy places the organism in Eukaryota, Viridiplantae, Streptophyta, Magnoliopsida, Asterales, Asteraceae.